RNAcentral lists this long non-coding RNA (8838 nucleotides) under Zea mays. Its description in RNAcentral is "long non-coding RNA (ZMAY_LNC002349)". Lineage: Eukaryota; Viridiplantae; Streptophyta; Magnoliopsida; Poales; Poaceae. The record is from RNAcentral.
CCGAUAUAGCUUAUAUGUGUAACACUCCAGGUUCCACAAACAACCCGGUAUGCUACUGUACUACACUUCCGACGUCCAUAUAUAAAAUUUCGGCAGCAUCCCCUUUGCAAGAUUGCAUAAAAGAGGGAGCAACAGAGUAUAAACAUAUAUCAUGACUAAAACAUACUAAGUAUUAUUACUCGACUAGCAAGGAAAGAUAAACAUACGACCUGAACUGAAUUAACCAGUGCGCAUGACCAUAUAAAAAAAUAAACAAACUUCCUUUGACAAUAAGUUUCUAAUUAAAUCAUGGCUGCGCCUGGGCAGCGUUAUUGUGAGAGUGAAAGUGGACGUGCUGCUACUCCCCUCAUUCCCAACAUGUAUCAAGUACCUGCAUUGAGUAAUGCAAGAGUGAGAUGACACAUCUCAGCAAGUAAAAUAAUAUCAAACAGUUUAACCACAUAAGAACAUUGUUUUACCACCACUUAAUUCCACAACCUUCUUAUUACGAAGGUGCAGCACGUAUACAACGUACAACGCACCUAGUUACCACACCUCGCAGGUAGAAACCACAAUAGUAACAUAGUAAAGUCACACUUCAUAUAUUCCUCAUGAGUGCAAAUGUCUGCAAAUGCAAGGAUGACUUCUGCCUUCAUACCUCUAAGGAUAUGAAGCCGCAUCGUACCCCUCCUCGGGCAACGUACGAUGCUAAAAAUGUACCGGUACGGUCGGACCAUAAGAUCACGACAUAACUUCAAAAUGCAAGAUGGAUGAUGCGAUGUGCAUGUCAUGCCUACAACACUUCAUAUAACAUGAUUCAAAAAGACACUUCAACUUCAUCCAGAUGGGAAUCAACCCCAUAUAUCAUUACCAAAUUAUGAUCAUCCACAAUAUUAGACAAUUGAGAAUUAAUACUUCCAAACAAAUAAACUUCAUCAUAGAAUUCAAUGAUUAACAUAAUUAAAACUUAUGCAUACUCAAUGACAGGGAAUAGGAUGCAAACCAAACGGUAGCAAUCACCACUGUAUUUACUUGCCUUUACCGGAAGUUCGGGCAAAUCCCAAGUACGAUCCGAAAGCCCACCACCUGUUUUUGACACCCAACUUAGUACACCAAUUUCACAUAAUCAGGCUCAUAAGCGACGCCGCACCUACGCACAAACUCAAACCCCGCCGCGGGUUACAUCUCUCCCUACACCCACCAAACUGCAGCGGCGCUGCUUAAUAAUUUCAUAACUUUAAAAUUAUGACAGCAGUGGUAACAAACAAAAACUCCAGAGGCAUUUACAUAAAAUUCCCCACAAGUUUUGUAUACAAUUUAUAAUUAAAUUCCAAUAUCUAAUUAGCCCAAAACAGUCCACAAGAUGAACCCUGUAAUCUGUUUUUCUUUGUCUUUUGGACAGCGACAUACCCAGAUUCAAACAGCGAUAUCUUUUAAAAUAUAAUUCCAAAUCAAGCGCAUAAGUACUCAUUGGAAAGAUAAGACAAAUCCCUACAUGAUUACUAUACUGGUUAACACUAAUUACCCACGAAAAAUUCCCAGAAACUGCUAAUACCACUGCUGUUCACCCACCUGAAAAAUCUGUUUUUUUGGACAGCAACAUAACCGGAUUCAAACAACGAUAUCUCCUGAAUUAUAACUCCGAAUCGAGCGCAUAAGUACUUGUUGGAAAGAUAACAUAAAGCCCUACAUGAUUCUCAUACUGAUUAACACUAAUUACUCCCGAAAAAUCCCCAGAAACUGCUAAUACUGCUGCUGUUCAUCCCCCUGAAAAAUCUGUUUUUUUGGACAGCCACACCCGGAUUCAAACGGUGAUAACUUUCAAUUUAUAACUCCAAAUUGAGCGCAUAAAUACUCGUUGGAAAGGUAAGGUAAAGUUCUACAUGAUCCCCAAACUGAUUUCCCUUAAUUCCUCACGAAAAAAACACAGAAACUGCUAGACUACUGCUGUUCACCCACCACCUAAAAUUCUGGACAGCCCCCCUCUACCCCAAUCGCAAACGCAACCUCUAAUCAAUUAAAUUGCAGUGCAAAUGAACAAGGGAUGAACACAAAAAAUCACCUUGGAUUCUCCCCUUUUCCUUCCUCCCUUCUUCCCUCCACCAAAACGAUUGAAGACUCGCACCACGACGACGAUGAUCCGAGCGGCAAGGAUUGGCACCUUGGGAGGAGGGGAUUGAGAGGGGGGCGGCUAGGGUUUGGUGGCUGCAAGAAUUGAGAGAGGAGGAGAUGGGCAGGGGGGCGGCGGCCAAGGCGGAAGAGAAGUGGGGGGGGGGGCGGCUGCACAUGGGGGGAGGGGGUUAGGAGGGAGGCGGCUAGGGUUUGGGAGGGUUAAUGGGCCGAAACUCCAAUUGCGGCCCAACUAACCCACGCGACAGCUCCCGACCGCAACGCAAGCGUCAAACCAAAUAAAUUCUACUACCCUAGUUGUGAAUGUUUUCCACAAAAUCCUAAAUCCCCAAAACAACAACCGGAUGAGGAAAAAAACAAAAAGAACAACCCCCAACUUCUCUUCUUUGCAAACCGGGUAUCACACUCUACCCCUCUUAAAAAGAAUUCGACCUCGAAUUCUGACGCUUCUAUCGGAACAACAAAAGAAAGGUUAAUGAAUCAACAAAACUCACACAUAAAGAAAAGUUCGAGUAUUUCUGCCGUAUCAGCUCCUCAAGCUCCUAGGAUUCUAAGAUACGCAGUAGAUGACACUCUAGAAUCUGCUCUUGCUACACAGGAAUCGGCUCUAGCUCGAUUUGAUGGUCUGGAUUCCGCAAAUACUUCCUCAACAAAAAGACAUGGAAUACUUGGUGUACUCUGAUCACAGAUUCCGACAAUUACUUGUGCUAAGCCCAGCUGCCAACUCGGCCAAGAUAGCAGACGAUCCUAUAUACCUCGGACCAAGCUUUCCUGACACCAAAUCAAUCAUUGACAUAUGCAAGUACUUCAAGGAAUGUAUAUAUGAAUGCAAGGCAUAUAAUGUACCUAUAGGCUAAACCAAACUUAGCCACACACGAGCAACUUCAAGAGAGCAACUUAAUGCUUGCAUAUUUCUAGAUAGCAGCACAGCGGUUAAUUGUUUUGCUCCUAACUCACAAAAAUAUGCAUCGAAAAUUAGUAAACUAGGACUUUAUGGAAAACUUAUAAAGUCCACUAUACCCUUGGUAUUAUCAUCACAACAAGAUUUGACACUUAGAAAGGUCAAACAGUGCUAAACGUAAAUUCUGUCCAGACUUGGACAUAAUUCAACUACUCAAUUCAAAAAUCCAUAAUUGGAGUCUCAAUCAUCCAAUUCAGGUGCUCCCAGACUUUUUAGAAAGCUAGUAGAAUUGUCUAUAAUUCAUUUAUAAACAUAUCAAGUUAAUUCAAUGCAUAUUAAGGUCAAAAGACACGAGAAAGGCUCUGCUGUCCAAAUUUGGACAGAUUCAGAGAUCACACUUAAAACAGCUAUAACUUAACUUAUAGAUCUCCAAAAAAAAUUAAUCCAAAAUUUGUUGUAACGAUUAAGAAAAGUACUACAACUUAUUUAUAAUUUAUAAUAAGUUAUUCGAAGUUCAAAUUGGGCAAACAAGGUCAGCUUCGAAAUCUGUAUAGAAUCUGCACAGAUUUCAAGACUAGACUUGAGAAAAUCAUAACUCCCAAACUACUAGACCUAUGGUCAUGAAAGUUUUACACAAGUAAGAUAAAUAAGUUGGCUACAACUUUUAUAUAUAACAUCUCUACAGAAAAGAUGGUUUACUUCACUGAACUAGCUGCAUAACUGAAACUGGUCAUGAAGUCCCAAUAGCAAGCAAUAGAUUUUAUCAGGUUCAUUACUCUUCUAAGAUUAAGCGUUCAUUGAAAGACUAAUAACUUUAGAUUCUUCAUUACGAGACACCUAGAACAAAUAUAAGUAUAGAAGCAAUAUGAUAACUUUUUAAAUCAUUUAAGCCUAAUCUCACAUCAUGCAAACAAGAAUCAAUUUAAGCAUGUUAUGUCUGCCCACAUAUUCAUCCAAGCACAUUCUAUACAUGAUAUCAUAACUCCCUGCAGCUAACAAAAUUUAGCAAAUAUAAACUCACUGAAAAGAUUAUAACAUUCCCUAGAACUUUUAUUAUAAUGAGUGUCUCGGAAUUGAUUUCCAAACCGAUAAAACAAUGCAACUCUUUUGUUUCAAAACUGAUAAGAUUGAAACAAUGGACAACUAAAAUUCAAAAACCUAUAACUCCUGCUAUACUCAACUUAAACUACAACGAACACGCAUUGGAAAAGUUUUGAAAAUUGUCCACGACUUUUGCAAUAAAGUUGCACCCAAAUUUAUCCUUAUAGCCCACAACUCUGCAUGACCUACAGCUAAACUCAGCCUGAGAUACUGCACAUUAGAGAUUCGACUUAUAUCCGGGCAACCACUUCUCCAAAUCUAUUUAACAAACAGUUACAAGUAAAUACCCAUUAAAAAGGUACUGAAAAUACCUACAAGUUUUGCUUAAAGAGAAUUCGCAAAUUUGUGCUCUGCAACUAUCAAAACGCGGUCGAUUUAUUGGUGAUUAUAACGACGCCUAAAGUUUAGACACAACAGUGCAACAACUUCAGAGCAACCUAACUCCAAUUAUAUGCAAUGAGAAUUAGAAACCCAUACUCUUUGCAAAGAUCAUGAAAUUACUAAAACUUUCAUAAUCCACAAAGACCAAAUUAUACCGUCUUCAAUGUCUACUCUUCCGUACAAAAUUAAAGACUCACUCUGCUAGAGACACCAACAAAGAUGUUUUAAGAAACCCAUAUCUCUCAAAUGUUUAGACCAAACAUGGUGAUUAAGCAUCCUAUGGAAAGAUGCAGAAACAUACUACAAAACAUUCUAGAUAAGUGAGCCUGAUUCAGCCUCCAACUAAUUUAAAAUGCCUCCCAAAACCAAACAUCACAUUAUCAACAAAUAAAAAAACAAUAUAUAAUGAAACCCAAGUCAUUGGCAGGUGCCAUCAACACUAGGAUUUUCCACUACCAAACUGGGAUGCAACUCCACAAAGUCUUUAAAUAACACUCUACCAAAUAGGUUAGAACACUAAGCACAACAAUCAAUGAAUUCAACAACCUCGUUUGUUAAUGCCACUAAGGUCAAACAUCCAUGUACCGACAAUGUAUGAAACACCUGACAUACCAUCUCCAGCUCUAUAAAACAUGGUUGUUAUUACACUAGAAUCCAACUACUAGAAAUCUCCAAAACUAUUCUGUUGACGUGAAGCAAAUGGUGCUCAUGUCAUAUAACAUCUUUUCCCCCUCUCAAAAGAGAUAAAAUUUGCAAUACUCAUAAAGCAAUGGAGGGAUAACAACAAGAAAAAACUAAUGUACUUCUUGACACAGACUCAUGCAAAAGCUUCAUAAAUAUUACUUUCAACACUAAAAUAAUAACACGAUACUAUGCUCAACAGGAGUAAUUGGACUUCAAUAAGAUAAUCCACCUAACCCAACUACUUUGAUUAACCUCACAUACAACAAUACCUCCUAUCAUUGCACUUGAACAAUUUGUACCUAGUGAUGUCAUAGGAUGAAUUCAAAGUAGUAGACAUACAUGAUCUAUCAAACCAUCAUUCAUAUAAUAAAAAUCUCCAUCUAAUGCAACAACCACAUCAUUAUAGAGAUAGAUGACUAACAAACAUAAGCAACUUCCAGUUAAACAUUGACUUUGUUUAAGAUAAAGCGGUCCAAAUAAUAAUUCCACAAGCAUGCAUAGAGAACUGAUCAUAUAAAAAACUACCAUGUAUCAUCGGCGAUUAAAAACAAUAUAAAACGGGUUGUCCAUAUCGUCCGCAUGACUAGCCUCCAACAAAUAGAAAUUAUGCAUAACCUUUUUGGCUAUAGAAACAAACCAUAGAAGGAAAACAUGCAUGCCUCUUCAACUAUAAUAUAGACAUAAAAUCCACUUGAAAUCACCCUAUUUAUUAUUAAAGAUAAGGUUGCACACAAUAAGAAAACCUAUCGUGUAAACAUGGUUGGACUUAUCUACCCACGUCAUCUUGCAAACCUAUUGUACUCUAAGAUCAAGUUGGCAAGUAGCCACACUAGCCAAAAAAAAGGUGAGGUGUAAAGCACUGCACCCAUGGAAAUAUUACAUUGAUAAGUUGGGUUGUAACCCAACAGUCAAUCCAACUCAACAACACCAUAAAACUUCAUUGUAUAGUGUUUUCACACUACACCAAGUCAGAUUAGAUCCUCUAUACACAAGCUCAAUAAACAAUCGGUCCUACAAGUACUAGAACCCAAGAAUCCUUUUGGGGGAAAAAACAUCCACAGUCAAGCAUAUAGAAAUAUAUGAUGGUAAUAGCUCAGAGAUUAGUAAACAUUGCAUCCCAAAAAACUUCAUGACGAUAUGUAUAUAAAACAAGUACAUUAGUAGCUUCACUCGCAUAAUAAUUUCAAUAACAACCACAUCAAGAAACCAAUAUUAAAUAGAAGUAACAUUUCAUAUCAAGCAUUACGUCGUUAAUGACAUACCUCAUCAAACCAUAAAGGGGUUUGGAGUAAGGAAAUUCUAGUCAUCUAUACAAUAAAAUACUAAUAUGAAAGAUAUAUGAACCCAUACCCUUCCUAUAUGUGCAAGUGUGUCAAAUUUAUCUUCAAAUUGCGUAGAAUCUAAAGCCUAUCCACUGAUACCAAAUGUAACACUCCAGGUUCCACAAACAACCCGGUAUGCUACUGUACUACACUUCCGACGUCCAUAUAUAAAAUUUCGGCAGCAUCCCCUUUGCAAGAUUGCAUAAAAGAGGGAGCAACAGAGUAUAAACAUAUAUCAUGACUAAAACAUACUAAGUAUUAUUACUCGACUAGCAAGGAAAGAUAAACAUACGACCUGAACUGAAUUAACCAGUGCGCACGACCAUAUAAAAAAAUAAACAAACUUCCUUUGACAAUAAGUUUCUAAUUAAAUCAUGGCUGCGCCUGGGCAGCGUUAUUGUGAGAGUGAAAGUGGACGUGCUGCUACUCCCCUCAUUCCCAACAUGUAUCAAGUACCUGCAUUGAGUAAUGCAAGAGUGAGAUGACACAUCUCAGCAAGUAAAAUAAUAUCAAACAGUUUAACCACAUAAGAACAUUGUUUUACCACCACUUAAUUCCACAACCUUCUUAUUACGAAGGUGCAGCACGUAUACAACGUACAACGCACCUAGUUACCACACCUCGCAGGUAGAAACCACAAUAGUAACAUAGUAAUGUCACACUUCAUAUAUUCCUCAUGAGUGCAAAUGUCUGCAAAUGCAAGGAUGACUUCUGCCUUCAUACCUCUAAGGAUAUGAAGCCGCAUCGUACCCCUCCUCGGGCAACGUACGAUGCUAAAAAUGUACCGGUACGGUCGGACCAUAAGAUCACGACAUAACUUCAAAAUGCAAGAUGGAUGAUGCGAUGUGCAUGUCAUGCCUACAACACUUCAUAUAACAUGAUUCAAAAAGACACUUCAACUUCAUCCAGAUGGGAAUCAACCCCAUAUAUCAUUACCAAAUUAUGAUCAUCCACAAUAUUAGACAAUUGAGAAUUAAUACUUCCAAACAAAUAAACUUCAUCAUAGAAUUCAAUGAUUAACAUAAUUAAAACUUAUGCAUACUCAAUGACAGGGAAUAGGAUGCAAACCAAACGGUAGCAAUCACCACUGUAUUUACUUGCCUUUACCGGAAGUUCGGGCAAAUCCCAAGUACGAUCCGAAAGCCCACCACCUGUUUUUGACACCCAACUUAGUACACCAAUUUCACAUAAUCAGGCUCAUAAGCGACGCCGCACCUACGCACAAACUCAAACCCCGCCGCGGGUUACAUCUCUCCCUACACCCACCAAACUGCAGCGGCGCUGCUUAAUAAUUUCAUAACUUUAAAAUUAUGACAGCAGUGGUAACAAACAAAAACUCCAGAGGCAUCUACAUAAAAUUCCCCACAAGUUUUGUAUACAAUUUAUAAUUAAAUUCCAAUAUCUAAUUAGCCCAAAACAGUCCACAAGAUGAACCCUGUAAUCUGUUUUUCUUUGUCUUUUGGACAGCGACAUACCCAGAUUCAAACAGCGAUAUCUUUUAAAAUAUAAUUCCAAAUCAAGCGCAUAAGUACUCAUUGGAAAGAUAAGACAAAUCCCUACAUGAUUACUAUACUGGUUAACACUAAUUACCCACGAAAAAUUCCCAGAAACUGCUAAUACCACUGCUGUUCACCCACCUGAAAAAUCUGUUUUUUUGGACAGCAACAUAACCGGAUUCAAACAACGAUAUCUCCUGAAUUAUAACUCCGAAUCGAGCGCAUAAGUACUUGUUGGAAAGAUAACAUAAAGCCCUACAUGAUUCUCAUACUGAUUAACACUAAUUACUCCCGAAAAAUCCCCAGAAACUGCUAAUACUGCUGCUGUUCAUCCCCCUGAAAAAUCUGUUUUUUUGGACAGCCACACCCGGAUUCAAACGGUGAUAACUUUCAAUUUAUAACUCCAAAUUGAGCGCAUAAAUACUCGUUGGAAAGGUAAGGUAAAGUUCUACAUGAUCCCCAAACUGAUUUCCCUUAAUUCCUCACGAAAAAAAACACAGAAACUGCUAGACUACUGCUGUUCACCCACCACCUAAAAUUCUGGACAGCCCCCCUCUACCCCAAUCGCAAACGCAACCUCUAAUCAAUUAAAUUGCAGUGCAAAUGAACAAGGGAUGAACACAAAAAAUCACCUUGGAUUCUCCCCCUUUCCUUCCUCCCUUCUUCCCUCCACCAAAACGAUUGAAGACUCGCACCACGACGACGAUGAUCCGAGCGGCAAGGAUUGGCACCUUGGGAGGAGGGGAUUGAGAGGGGGGGCGGCUAGGGUUUGGUGGCUGCAAGAAUUGAGAGAGGAGGAGAUGGGCAGGGGGGCGGCGGCCAAGGCGGAAGAGAAGUGGGGGGG